CGCGUAGGCGGAAUGAUAAGUUAGUGGUGAAAGCCUCCGGCUCAACCGGAGAACUGCCAUUAAUACUGUCAUUCUUGAGUAUAGUUGAAGUGGGCGGAAUGUAUCAUGUAGCGGUGAAAUGCUUAGAUAUGAUACAGAACACCGAUAGCGUAGGCAGCUUGCUAAACUAUAACUGACGCUCAGGCACGAAAGCGUGGGGAGCAAACAGGAUUAGAUACCCUGGUAGUC
This 228-nucleotide ribosomal RNA is filed under the name uncultured bacterium. RNAcentral's name for it is "partial 16S ribosomal RNA". It matches the Rfam family "Bacterial small subunit ribosomal RNA", at positions 568 to 795 of the family's 1533-position model. The record is from RNAcentral.